Non-coding RNA from Pteropus vampyrus (large flying fox), 116 nucleotides. The record is from Rfam. NCBI's taxonomy places the organism in Eukaryota, Metazoa, Chordata, Mammalia, Chiroptera, Pteropodidae.
UCUAGAGCAAUUUUAUAUCAAAUUUAUAAGAUAUAAAUGUUCUCUUUAUUAAUAUUUAGUGAGAAAUGAACACUCCAGAUAAAACAUUUUUCAUGUAGAAGGAUGGUAAUAUAAAC